UCCUACGGGGGGCAGCAGUGGGGAAUAUUGGACAAUGGGCGCAAGCCUGAUCCAGCCAUGCCGCGUGAGUGAUGAAGGCCUUAGGGUUGUAAAGCUCUUUCGUCAGGGAAGAUAAUGACGGUACCUGAAGAAGAAGCCCCGGCUAACUUCGUGCCAGCAGCCGCGGUAAUACGAAGGGGGCUAGCGUUGCUCGGAAUCACUGGGCGUAAAGCGCACGUAGGCGGCUUUCUAAGUCAGGGGUGAAAUCCUGGAGCUCAACUCCAGAACUGCCUUUGAUACUGGAAAGCUUGAGUUCGGGAGAGGUGAGUGGAACUGCGAGUGUAGAGGUGAAAUUCGUAGAUAUUCGCAAGAACACCAGUGGCGAAGGCGGCUCACUGGCCCGAUACUGACGCUGAGGUGCGAAAGCGUGGGGAGCAAACAGGAUUAGAUACCCCAGUAGUC
This 441-nucleotide ribosomal RNA is filed under the name uncultured Rhodoplanes sp. RNAcentral describes it as "bacterial SSU rRNA". It matches the Rfam family "Bacterial small subunit ribosomal RNA", at positions 337 to 795 of the family's 1533-position model. Lineage: Bacteria; Pseudomonadati; Pseudomonadota; Alphaproteobacteria; Hyphomicrobiales; Nitrobacteraceae. The record is from RNAcentral.